RNAcentral lists this long non-coding RNA (2243 nucleotides) under Pelobates cultripes (western spadefoot toad). The record is from RNAcentral. Lineage: Eukaryota; Metazoa; Chordata; Amphibia; Anura; Pelobatidae.
AGACUGGAGGAAAUCUACACUGCCUCAUGGCAUUUCAGAAACGCAGUUGGCAGAGAUUUGGGCCAUGGAAUUUGCAACUUGGCAACCUGAGGCCAGAACCCCAGCCACCACCCAUGCAUUCCAGGAGAAUCCCUAAAUCUGAAAGUGAAGACAAUGUACCCAAGAAAGCGCAUGGGCACAUGGGAAGAUCAUUUAGCACGGGCUUUCACCAAGAUCUUGUAUGGAAGAGGAUGUGUCAUAUUAAUGAGAGAGGGAGCAGUGGUUCACCAGAUAGUGACUCGGAUUGAGAAGGGAAUUAUUAAAUAGUCUCAAGCAGUAUUAUUGUUAAUAGUUUGGUUUUCAAGGGUAUGGCAUUUUGUUUGAAAUUUAAUUUAUCGGUUUCAUAAGGUGUGUAACACAGACAAUAUUUACUAGGCACUCAUUUCCAGUUCACGACCAAGGCCAUCUCUAGACACUGUUGACAUAAAAGGCGUUAAUAUAUUGGAUUGUGUAUAUUUGACAUAUAUUUUUAUGAAAUGUUAGAAUAGUCGUGAUAUGAUUUGUGAUAGUUUCAGUUCCCAUUCAUUUUGAUAAUUGGGGAAAAAAAACUUUUUUUGAAAUAAAAAAAGUAAUACAUUUUGUAAUAUUAAACAUGAGAAAGCAAAUCAAGUUAUGGGCAGUUAGGAUAGUAAAUUGUGAAGACCAAGUAAGUCUCAUUGUGUUCACGAGUGUGUCUUAGCCACUUGUAGAAAUAGCCAUGGUGAAUUAAAGGACCACUAUAGUGCCCUGAGGGUGCCCCCACCCUCAGGGUCCCCCUCCCGCUAGGCUGGAUGGCGAGGAAAGGGGUUAAACUCACCUUUAUUCCAGCGCCGGGCGGGGAGCUCUCCUCCUCUUCGGCUGAAUGCGAAUGCGCGGCAAGAGCUGCGCGCGCAUUCAGCCGGUCUCAUAGGAAAGCAUUUAUAAUGCUUUCCUAUGGACGCUGGCGUGUUCUCACUGUGAUUUUCACAGUGAGAAGCACGCAAGCGCCUCUAGCGGCGGUCAAUGAGACAGCCACUAGAGGAUUUGGAGGCUGGAUUAACCCAUUUAUAAACAUAGCAGUUUCUCUGAAACUAUGUUUAUAAAAAAAAAAAAAGGGGGUUAAUCCUAGAGGGACCUGGCACCCAGACCACUUCAUUAAGCUGAAGUGGUCUGGGUGCCUAGAGUGGUCCUUUAAACUUGCAGAUGCAUACACUUAAUAUGAAAUUUGUAAUCUGGUUCUAAAGUCAUUGCAUUUAAGAUUUAAAGAAGCACCAUAGCCAUUGUAUCUCAUAGUAGUGUUAACAAUUGGCUCAAAUCAAUGGGCGUCUUACACCAGUUUUUAGUGAACACAUUUUAAAAUGGCUUGACAAGGCCCAAGGCUUUCCUUGGCCACAAUAAUCCAGCCCCUCUGCAGCACAAUGGAUAUUACAGAAAUGACACUUCCACAUUAUCCUUUGAAAUCUAUCCAACACUGGAAAGCAAUGGAAGGGCUAACCUUAUUCCUAAACCUUACAUCAUUUCUGUCUAAAGUUUGAUAGAUUCAUAUAGAUAAAAAAAAGAAGUGUAAUUGCCACAGCCAUGCAUAAUCUCACUUGGCAUGAGAAGAGGCUUUAAAUGCCUGUUUCUUUCAGUAAUUUCAGUACUUGCAACUUCAGUAGAACUGAAUCAUUAUUAGGGAAUACUAUUCAGUAGGUUGCUAGUAGGAUUAGCUAAUUUACACAAAUAAGUACAUAUUAAGGAUAAACUCACUUUCAAUAACGCAUAUAUUGAAUAUAAUGGCUGUGAUAUAUAAAGGUUAUAACUGGAUGUGUACGACAUAUCCUGAGAAAGCAUGUCAUUCUAUAAAGCACAUUUUGAAGACAUCCAUUUUGCAUGUGGCCCUAGAUGAAAUCAGCAGGAAAGAUAAAGGACCCAUAUAUUUAUCCCUAGAAAAGUAAAACUUAAAUAUAACUUUUUUUUUCAGAUUGUCGUGAGGUUGUUCUUAUACACACUUCCCCAAGAUAAUGGAUGUAUCUUUAUUAUUCUGUGACAUCUGCCAACUAAAUACAAUAGUAUAAAUUAUUCUGGAAAUUUGGCAGUGAACGCAUUUCUUGGUUCCAUAUUUGGUCCCAACUAAAGACUUUUAGGUGGUUUUGUUUAACUAGUACAAUAUAUUUUCUACUUUUAUAGAUCUUCAUUGAUGUACCUGCUUCCAUGUUAUUAAACUAGUCUGUAAAAUAUUAAAUCCGCAAGUCUGCCUAUGUUUG